AUGCAUGUGUAAGUACGAACAAAUUCAGACUGUGAAACUGCGAAUGGCUCAUUAAAUCAGUUAGAG
This 66-nucleotide ribosomal RNA is filed under the name Centaurea valesiaca. RNAcentral's name for it is "Centaurea vallesiaca partial 18S ribosomal RNA". Lineage: Eukaryota; Viridiplantae; Streptophyta; Magnoliopsida; Asterales; Asteraceae. The record is from RNAcentral.